RNAcentral lists this unclassified non-coding RNA (420 nucleotides) under Hevea brasiliensis (rubber tree). Lineage: Eukaryota; Viridiplantae; Streptophyta; Magnoliopsida; Malpighiales; Euphorbiaceae. The record is from RNAcentral.
AAUAUCCUGUUGGAAACUCGCACUUCCCAUACUCUGCAGAGAAGAGAAAAUUUGCAAAAUUAUUACUAUUUAUUUUCAGCAUUUUACGUUAUUAAAAAGGAAAAAAAAGUUACGAAAGAUUCUCCAUCACAUCAUGGCCACUCAUGUGCUGCCAUUUUUGACAUUAAUUAAACCUGACCUGGCGUGCACCAUUCAUUGCUGUCCCAAACUCGGUGGACUGUCAGCGCAUGUUAUCAAUCUACUAUAUUAAUUAUCUAACAUAAGAGGAAAGAGCAAAAUACACACUUGGUGCUUGGGUGACGACAUAUGCUGCUCCUCCAAAAUAACAGGCACCAAUGUCCCGCCCUUUCUUCUGAUAGUAGCUGUUGAAGGCGACAGACGCGUGGGCCUCAAUAGUGUUAGGAUCGUAACACGUGGCGU